UUGACCUCGAAUCAGGUAGGAAUACCCGCUGAACUUAAGCAUAUCAAUAAGCGGAGGAAAAGAAACCAACAGGGAUUGCCCCAGUAACGGCGAGUGAAGCGGCAACAGCUCAAAUUUGAAAUCUGGCUCUCGGGCCCGAGUUGUAAUUUGUAGAGGAUGCUUUUGGUGAGGUGCCUUCCGAGUUCCCUGGAACGGGACGCCAUAGAGGGUGAGAGCCCCGUCUGGUUGGACACCGAUCCUCUGUAAAGCUCCUUCGACGAGUCGAGUAGUUUGGGAAUGCUGCUCUAAAUGGGAGGUAUAUGUCUUCUAAAGCUAAAUACCGGCCAGAGACCGAUAGCGCACAAGUAGAGUGAUCGAAAGAUGAAAAGAACUUUGAAAAGAGAGUUAAAAAGUACGUGAAAUUGUUGAAAGGGAAGCGCUUGUGACCAGACUUGGGCUUGGUUGAUCAUCCGGGGUUCUCCCCGGUGCACUCUUCCGGCUCAGGCCAGCAUCAGUUCGCCCUGGGGGAUAAAGGCUUCGGGAAUGUGGCUCUCUCCGGGGAGUGUUAUAGCCCGCUGCGUAAUACCCUGUGGCGGACUGAGGUUCGCGCAUUCGCAAGGAUGCUGGCGUAAUGGUCAUCAG
This 621-nucleotide ribosomal RNA is filed under the name Fusarium falciforme. RNAcentral's name for it is "eukaryotic LSU rRNA". It matches the Rfam family "Eukaryotic large subunit ribosomal RNA", at positions 1 to 644 of the family's 3401-position model. The record is from RNAcentral. Lineage: Eukaryota; Fungi; Ascomycota; Sordariomycetes; Hypocreales; Nectriaceae.